This 400-nucleotide ribosomal RNA is filed under the name phytoplankton environmental sample. RNAcentral describes it as "partial small subunit ribosomal RNA". It matches the Rfam family "Eukaryotic small subunit ribosomal RNA", at positions 587 to 967 of the family's 1831-position model. The record is from RNAcentral.
AGCUCCAAUAGCGUAUAUUAAAGUUGCUGCAGUUAAAAAGCUCGUAGUUGGAUUUGUGGCGCGGUCGUCCGGCGGGGCUUCCGGUUUCAUAGUAUCCCGGGGCCGUUUGUCUGGGUUCUUGGCCGCCCCAUUCUUCGGUUGCGUGUCGCUGGCAUUAGGUUGUCGGCUUCUUCGCGCCGAUCGUUUACUGUGAAAAAAUUAGAGUGUUCAAAGCAGGCUGUCACAGCCCGAAUACAUGAGCAUGGAAUAAUGGAAUAGGACCGCGGUUCUAUUUUGUUGGUUUCUACGACCGCAGUAAUGAUUAAGAGGGACAAUUGGGGGCAUCCGUAUUUCGUUGUCAGAGGUGAAAUUCUUGGAUUUACGAAAGACGAACAACUGCGAAAGCAUUUGCCAAGAGUGU